UAGCUCAAUUGGCAGAGCAGCCGGCUGUUAACCGGCAGGUUACUGGUUCGAGUCCANN
Transfer RNA from Streptomyces sp. Root264, 58 nucleotides. It matches the Rfam family "tRNA", at positions 8 to 63 of the family's 71-position model. From Rfam's summary of the family: Transfer RNA (tRNA) molecules are approximately 80 nucleotides in length. Their secondary structure includes four short double-helical elements and three loops (D, anti-codon, and T loops). Lineage: Bacteria; Bacillati; Actinomycetota; Actinomycetes; Kitasatosporales; Streptomycetaceae. The record is from Rfam.